CCUACGGGAGGCAGCAGUGAGGAAUAUUGGUCAAUGGACGAGAGUCUGAACCAGCCAAGUAGCGUGAAGGAUGACUGCCCUAUGGGUUGUAAACUUCUUUUAUAUGGGAAUAAAAUGUUCCACGUGUGGGAUUUUGUAUGUACCAUAUGAAUAAGGAUCGGCUAACUCCGUGCCAGCAGCCGCGGUAAUACGGAGGAUCCGAGCGUUAUCCGGAUUUAUUGGGUUUAAAGGGAGCGUAGGUGGAGUGUUAAGUCAGUUGUGAAAGUUUGCGGCUCAACCGUAAAAUUGCAGUUGAAACUGGCAGUCUUGAGUACAGUAGAGGUGGGCGGAAUGCGUGGUGUAGCGGUGAAAUGCUUAGAUAUCACGAAGAACUCCGAUUGCGAAGGCAGUUCACUGGACUGCAACUGACACUGAGGCUCGAAAGUGUGGGUAUCAAACAGGAUUAGAUACCCCAGUAGUC
RNAcentral lists this ribosomal RNA (460 nucleotides) under uncultured bacterium. Its description in RNAcentral is "partial 16S ribosomal RNA". It matches the Rfam family "Bacterial small subunit ribosomal RNA", at positions 338 to 795 of the family's 1533-position model. The record is from RNAcentral.